Molecule: long non-coding RNA, 1071 nt
Organism: Bos indicus x Bos taurus (hybrid cattle)
Lineage: Eukaryota; Metazoa; Chordata; Mammalia; Artiodactyla; Bovidae
Source: Ensembl
AGCAUAGUCAAGGACAUUUAGUUCUUUCUAAAAGGGCUGUAGAUAAUAUUCUGAGCAAUAUCCUGUGAGCUGUUUUAUAGAUACUAAAACCCCAGGUGGAGAAGUUAACUACGUAAUGACCAGGCUGUAUACAGGACAUGAACUGCAACAAUUCUGAGAAUUGACCACAAAGAGAUGGGAACAAAUGCACCCAGAACUGAAGAUUAACUGUACCUAAAACAACCAAGAUGAUGCUAGUCAGAUGACUGAUGACCAAUUUGAAGAUGACUGUUAGAGAUGAUGUGCUGUUUCAGGAUGUAGCACCCUCCUGACUCUGUCUAUAAAUGCUCUCACCCUCUGCUUGUUGGAGGAGGGGAGUUGGCCUUUUGACAGAUGUCUACUACCCUCCCCACCACCCAGUUGCCAGCAUCUGAAAUAAAGCAAACUUUCCUUUCCACCACCCUGGCCUGUUUAUUGGUUUUUGAGCAGUGAGCAGCCAGACCCCCCACACAUUCCUUUCAGUUACGACAGAAUCCUGGUCCUGCAGACGAGGUUCAGUUUGUGACGCACAUUAAGGGUAGACAAUACAGCUGUCCCCUUCUCAACAGCACCUUUCCACUCUCCCCACGUUGCCUGCGUUCAGUGUCAACUGCAUCCAAUGUUGUCCGCAUUCGAUUAUCAUCUUCCUGAACCUCAUGUCACAGGAAGCCCCCAAGGGUUGUGCAUCAUGAAGAAAGAAACAACACAGAGAACAUCAUCUGAGGCAUGCAAAAAUAAUUGUGCAUCUCCACCAGAAGAGAGCACUAUCGUCUGAGUGUGGCACUUAAAGAAAGAAAUGCAUGUUUUGAAACACAAGAAAACACCUUCCUUAAGGGAUAGUCAAAAGAAAGGAUAAAAGCUGUCUGCAAAGAGGGAAUGGUUAAGCGAAAUGAUCAUUUGAGUUAAUAAGUACAUAUGACUGUAUAAUUCCAGUAGAGACUUGAACAAUCCUGGCAGUUUGUACCAGAGGCAUGCCUCUCCUCUGGGAAGCAGCGGUAAGAGGGCACAUCUCUGUGCAAAGUGAACAAUAAAUUAAUAGAAUUUGCUAUCCCA